CAUUAAAGCAGAAGAGGUGUUAGAUUCUCUGUCCUCAUGACGGGACGCACAGAAGAACUCAUAUGACGCUUGCGUUUCAACAGAAUCCCACCUUGUAAGGCCAGACUGACGUGUCCCCCCCCCACCAUCCACCUCCUCCCGGCACCUGGCUGCAUCGAGGAGGAUCAGCCGUCUCCCGACCUGACCAGGUGACCACAUCAGGGAGACAGAGACUCGAGUGAAGUGACAGAGGUUUAGAUUUCUCUCACACCGCAGAAGAGUGAGCUGGAUUUUUCAUCUGUGGAGAGGAUGUGAUAUUCCUGGUGGUCAGUCGACCAUUAGAGGGAGCUCCAGCCCCUGCAAGAACCCAGGUGAGCCAAUGCAUACAUGUUGAUGGAGAGAUGGUGAAGGAGGGUAUGUGGUUUUCCACGGAUUACAGAGGACAGAGGUUGUGAAGGUUUAUAACACAGGGGGGGCAAACAGGCCUUGCUAUAGCUGACAUAGCCUCAAAUGUAUGCAUGAAGCGCUGCUCCUUGGCCCGUGUUGCAGCGUGGCAGCACAGCCUGCGCCCCACCCUCGCCGUGUGUCCGCAUGGUGUGCCAACCCGCCGAUCAGAGAGAUUACCGGCACCGUACAGGGCAUGCAGGCAGAGUCAGCCCACAUCUCUGCCGAUGGCCAGUGCGGAUUGGGAGCACCGUGUCUGUGUUCUAGGAUGACUGCCAGGAACACUUGAAAUGUCCCUGCUCAUCGCAAGUAGAUUGAAAUGCGCUACUUACUACUCACUGCAGCCACUUCCUAGAAACCGUGAACCCUUGUACAGUGCUUGCCAUCAUGCCAACAUGCUUGAAAAUUUGCAUCACAUUAAUAUUUUCUAACUUUUACUUUAUAAAUUACUACUGAUGUUGGCUACAGGCAUGUUGAUGAAUGGUACCUUUACCUACAUCCAGAGAACAAAUCCUGUCUCUUCACCUCCUUUGGGUUAUGCUAAAGCAGGUCAAUCAAGCCUUAACAUCCUCUGUGAACCCAAUGGCCUUUAUUAUAUUACUUUGUUCAGGUAUUACAUUAUAUGCAGCGUGUGACAUUAAAGGCCUGUUGGGCCUAAUGGCUGUCUGACAGAAGAACAUUUGCUGAAGUGAAUUUCUGCUAACUCUUCUAGCUGACAGGAGUACUGGGGGAGUACUGUGGGAGUACUUCUCCCCAAAGAUUAGCAAUAUACUAUGACCUCCACCCAUAGAGGAACAACCUGCCUGUGAGAUAGCCACUCCCAGAGGACACGCCCCCUGCUGUGGGAAAGCCACUCCCAGAGGACACGCCCCCUGCUAUGGGAUAGCCACUCCCAGAGGACACGCCCCCUGCUAUGGGAUAGCCACUCCCAGAGGACACGCCCCCUGCUAUGAGAUAACUUCUCCCAGAGGACACGCCCCCUGCUGUGGGAAAGCCACUCUCAGAGGACACGCCCCCUGCUAUGAGAUAACUUCUCCCAGAGGACACGCCCCCUGUUGUGGGAUAGGCACUCCCAGAGGACACGCCCCCUGCUAUGCGAUACCCACUCCAAGAAUACAUGCCCCCCACUGCUAUGACACACCCACUCCCAGAGGGCAUGCUCCCCUGCUAUGGAAUAGCCACUCCCAGAGGACACGCUCCCCUGCUAUGGAAUAGCCACUGGUAUAGGAUCACCAGCCCUAUGGUCCCACUAUCUCUAAAGGAUAAGCCCGGGGUUCCCAGCUCCCGGUCUGGUGCUAGUAUCCAACUGGGUUGCUGCAAAACACUGGGGGUUUGGGGGAGGGGAAGGCAAAUUUCCAAAAAAUAAACUUUAUAUUUUCAAGUUGCAUUUUUAUUUUGAAUGAACCCUGGUGUUUUUAUCACAUUAAUAAAUUAAAUUAAUGGAAAUCGCUAAACUUAGUAAAUCUACCCCUCCCAGUCGACUGCCAGCACUUCAUUCCCACCCCCGUUUGAGUUUAACCAGUCUGUGAAACCUUUGCACAGUGCAUGCCGGUCCGUGGUCAUCGAAAGGUUGGGAACACCUAGGAUAAGCUAGCCAUGGGGCCUUUACUAAUAUGGGGCUGGCAAUGAGAAAGCUUGUGGACUUCGGUCAGCGGUGGAUUCGGAAUGGUGGUUUCCAUGGAGACGGCAGUCAGGGCCUGAGAGCAUGUAAGUGUCACUUUGAGACAUCCGUUCAGUCUAAGCUGAGGCCAGGGGGCAGACAUGUCAUCGUUAUCAGUCACUUUCAAUAUGAUAAUCUCAUUCCGGGCUUUUUUUAAGCAUUCAGAAAAAAAAUACCUUUUUUGUUGAUUGGUUUAUAAGCACAUUUUGAGGGUUUAUUGGAGAGUAAAUAGUUUAAUCUGAGUGUAAAAGUUUUAGAUACAAUGAAAAGAUUGCUAGGGCAGACCUUCACACUGACAACAAUAGGGUAUCUUCGCAGUGUGUGCUUGAGAGGUUAAAAACACCCAAGGAUGACAGAAACAUAAUAUAAAUCAGUUUAAGGCUUAAGCAACUGUCAGAAAGAUCCCAGAAAGAACUGUGUUUCCUGUAAUUUGCUCUAAGAGUGAGAUAUCUCUCAUUGUUCCUUGAUAAUUGGAAUAGUGCCAUUUCUAUGCAGAACAAAUUAAAUGUCAAUCCAGCCCAUGAUAUAAAAACAUUUAAUUUCAUCGCCAGGAUAGAAAUCAAGUAUAUCGCCUAAAAUGUGAGCCUUCGACAAUUAAGGAUGUGACUCAAACUACAGUGUAACAAUGGUACUCUCCUGAGGAGUGACCCAAGCCUUCCCUCGUAAGCCUGUAAGAGCAUUAAUUAGAUUCUAAUUAAAACCCUAAUUAAUUUAAAAACUAAUUACAACUUGACAAUACUAAAUAAGAUAAAGGGAAGAUAUUGGAUUAACACAGGUUCCGUUAAGCUUUGAUAAAGCAUUGGGACUGUGAGGCCUUAAACUAAGGUGGCCAUUUUUCAGGAGGCGUUUCGAAUUCUUCGGCCUCCCUGUAAGCGUGUUAGCUAGAGACCGGGGCGACGCGACGCUGUGUGCAGUAUGAGGCUCGCGUGCUUCUGCUCAGGGCUUUACGUUAUUAACUCCUGCUCGUAAUUGUCUGGGACCUUUGGUGGCGAUAUGACAUCUCCCACAAAUAAGAUGAGGCUGGUGUGACGCCGUUAGGGAAGAUAAACAGGGCUCUCGUUAGAGCUGCCAGUCUGCGGCAGUGACGGGGGACGCCUCUCGGCUGAGCGAAACGCCUGGGCCCGGCGCUGCCGUCUGUGUGGGUGCCCGCUGACGCAAUGUGCAAAUAGAAUAUAUGCCGGAAACACACACCUCUAAGCACGACUGUGCCUCACGGGCCGCAGUAAUGGGACCUGCAGGUCGGCACCCGUGACAGCGUCUCCAAGGACACCUGUCGCAGCUGGUGGCCCUAGGUGAUGUGGCAGCAUGAUGUCAUCAUUCAUUUCCUCACCAGGAGAGCAGGAGUGCUGCCAAUUUACAGAACUGCAACCAAGUUACCCAGUCAACCUGUAAUGUGUGACUUACAGAAUUACAACCAAGUUACCCAGUCAACCUGUAAUUUGUGACUUACAGAAUUACAACCAGGUUACCCAGUCAACCUGUAAGGUGUGCUUUACAGAAUUACAACCAAGUUACCCAGUCAACCUGUAAUGUGUGACUUACAGAAUUACAACCAGGUUACCCAGUCAACCUGUAAGGUGUGACUUACAGAAUUACAACCAGGUUACCCAGUCAACCUGUAAGGUGUGACUUACAGAAUUACAACCGGGUUACACAGUCAACCUGUAAGGUGUGACUUACAGAAUUACAGCCAGGUUACCCAGUCCAGCCUGUCAGGUGACAAACCCACAAUGCUUCAGGCAGGAGUCAGGGCAGAUUGGAAAGCCAAGUAGCAGAAUAUGUCCCCUCUAAACCAUCAUGGAGUGGAAAGAUUCAGGAGGUCGAAAUGGUAAAGAAAAAAUAAAAUGGUGCCCCUUAGAGGAGGGUUUGGGUGCUGUGCUUUGUCAGGGUCACGUUUUGGCUUUGAUGUUACCCGUAACCGACCUGGGCCGUCGAGACGGCCGGUGCGGAAAUCUGUUUUCAUGUAUUCUCUAUGCAAACAGAUCUAUAGAAAGUUUUCUUUUUUGUCAGUAGAUUUACUUGCCCACGUGCUGUGGGAUGAAGGUCCCAGGGAGCCUGAGAUAAGGUGGGUAAAUCCCCCAAUGGCAGGCUGUGAGUUUAGGAUAUGCUUGUGUUACAGUAUGGAAAACCCAAACCAGGCCAAAAUGCCCACCCUCCUGUCUUUGUGUGGCUGGGAAUGUCGACUAAGUGCUUUUUUGGUCCAUUAAUGGGGGAAGCGCUGUGCUUUGUGUGCCUAAAUUGGAAGCUAAUGCUAGUGUGUGGUGUCGCUGGAAUGAAAGCCUCACGUGGAUUUUUAAAAUGUACUUUUUUGUUAAAUAAGAAUUGCCUCCAUAAUCAACAAAAAGGUUUUUUGUUGAUAGCUCUGGUGCUGAGGUGUGAAAACGGCUUUGUAUUUUUUUUGUGCAAAUCAAACUUUUUUUCUUGAUGAAAAUAUACAGACAGGAGCUGUAAUUGUGGCUCUUUCACAUGCAUUUUAAUACAUUUUUAUUUAUCAGGCACAUUCAGUCACGGUUCCUGAUGGUGUCAGACAUGGGCUCUGUAUUUCUGUAAAUCGUUGGGUUUGUGUGAAAAGCACAAUAUUAUAUUUCUGAGCCCUAACCAGCAGUGAGUUUAGCAUUCACGAUGAAAACGUAAGGCACUACAUGCCGUUUUUGUAUGAUUUCCUCUUCCAGCUUGAAGGACGUAUCUGCAACCAGCCUCCAAAUUCAGAGGGUUAAUCUGAGGCCUGUGGCCGUUGGAUGGAACCAGAGUUAAUCACGAUGAGUAGAAGCAGGAUUUGGUGACUUUCAGAGUGUCUGCUUCAGUCUGUUAUUGUCACGACUGCUAGUCAGUCCGAUGUCCUGGGGGGGUCUACGGCCGUUUCCUUUAAAUUCACAUUUUGAAGCAGUACAUGCUGAAAGCACUUUUGACUUGCUGGUAAUGGUGUCACUGACCUCCCAGCACCUGGGUAAAAGGCCUGCCAACUGAAGAAUUGAUGUCCCCCUGUCAGGAAAAGUCCCAGACCCCCCUCUCGGAGUUUCCAUUCAAGCACAGACCAUAAGUCGCUCUCUCACAAUGAGGCGCCAUGAGA
Long non-coding RNA from Paramormyrops kingsleyae, 5153 nucleotides. RefSeq lists it as uncharacterized. The record is from RefSeq and is a predicted model, not a curated record. Lineage: Eukaryota; Metazoa; Chordata; Actinopteri; Osteoglossiformes; Mormyridae.